GGGAAACAGGAUGAGGGGCCCAGCCCCAGGGCCCCAGACAAAACUUGGGGCA
Sarcophilus harrisii (Tasmanian devil) is the source of this 52-nucleotide non-coding RNA. Lineage: Eukaryota; Metazoa; Chordata; Mammalia; Dasyuromorphia; Dasyuridae. The record is from Rfam.